RNAcentral lists this ribosomal RNA (449 nucleotides) under uncultured bacterium. RNAcentral describes it as "partial 16S ribosomal RNA". It matches the Rfam family "Bacterial small subunit ribosomal RNA", at positions 29 to 523 of the family's 1533-position model. The record is from RNAcentral.
AACGAACGCUGGCGGCAUGCCUAACACAUGCAAGUCGAACGAGAUCUUCGGGUCUAGUGGCCCACGGGUGCGUAACGCGUGGGAAUCUGCCCCUUGGUUCGGAAUAACAGUUGGAAACGACUGCUAAUACCGGAUGAUGACGAAAGUCUAAAGAUUUAUCGCCAGAGGAUGAGCCCGCGUAGGAUUAGCUAGUUGGUGUAGUAAAGGCGAACCAAGGCGACGAUCCUUAGCUGGUCUGAGAGAAUGGUCAGCCACACUGGGACUGAGACACGGCCCAGACUCCUACGGGAGGCAGCAGUGGGGAAUAUUGGACAAUGGGCGAAAGCCUGAUCCAGCAGUGCCGCGUGAGUGAUGAGGGCCUUAGGGUUGUAAAGCUCUUUUACCCGGGAUGAUAAUGACAGUACCGGGAGAAUAAGCUCCGGCUAACUCCGUGCCAGCCGCCGCAGUAA